This 393-nucleotide ribosomal RNA is filed under the name Triticum aestivum (bread wheat). RNAcentral's name for it is "partial small subunit ribosomal RNA". The record is from RNAcentral. Lineage: Eukaryota; Viridiplantae; Streptophyta; Magnoliopsida; Poales; Poaceae.
AUGCACGCACUCGCCGGUCUCCGUCAACGGACUUUCAGAGACUUCAGAGUUCAGAGAGUUUCGCCGGCUGAAGCAAGCUGCAGCUCUGCCGAUCUGCCUUCCUUUCUUGCUCUGCUGAAGGAGUACUUAACAGCUGUUAACACUGACAGUAGGAAUGAAUGGAUGGUGCUGAAGGCAGCCAGUGUUCACAUUAGUUACCUGGCACAUCAAGGAGGGAAGCUUCAAACUUGGCCUGCUGUCAGUUCUUCUCACUGGUUUUUCUUUCUUCCGGCUAUUGUCUUCAUUGUCGAUGGCUAUGUGUUUAUUAGCAGGAAAACUCGGGCGAAGCAACCUAUUGUUGUUUUCCAGCAUGUGUGGAAAAGCAGUUUCCGUUUGGAAAUUGGAAGAUCAUAG